GGGCAGGGCACGAGCCUUGUGUCCCCGAGGGGGGGUGUCCCCCCUCCCCAUGACCCCACUGGCCACCACGGGGCAGAUCCGUGUUCCUGGGCCUGGUUUGGGUGUCCAGCACCCAAAUUUGGGGGGGUUUUGGCUCCCUGACCUUGCUGGGGGGGGGAUCCCCAACCCCUCUGACCUUCGUGGGGAGCCAGGAGGGGCCGAGGGGGACGAGGGAUGGGGACAAAGACCCCCCCAGCCCCAAAUCCGUGGAUCCCAGCUCAGAAUUCCCUGUUUUUGGGGUAAAUGACCCCAAAUCCCUCCCUGGGGGGGCCUCUGCUGGGCUGGGGGCUGCUCUGGAGCUCUGACACCCCUUCAUGGAUUUUCUGACACUUCCAAGACAUCAAAGGGGUUGAAAUCCCCUUUUUUCUGACACUUCCAAGACAUCCAAGGGGUUGAAAUCCCCUUUUUUCUGACAUUUCCAAGACAUCCAAGGGGUUGAAAUCCGCUUUUUUCUGACACUUCCAAGACAUCCAAGGGGUUGAAAUCCGCUUUUUUCGGCCCAGCCCUGUCCCCAGGAAGUGGAAAAUGGUGCUAAAAUCCUGAUUUCUGAGCAGAGCAAGAACUUCCAGCCCAUCCUGGGGGUUCCUCCUCUCCUCCCUCCCCCAGGGGCACCUCAAUUCCAGGGGGAGCUGGGGAUGAAUUCUGGAUCGAUCCAGGCUGGGAUCUUCGUCCUGGGAUUGCAGCCAAAGCUUGGGAAUGGAUUUUUUUGGGAGCAAAUAAAGGAUUUAUUCCCCCCUUUUCGACUCCUGAGCCGUGUGUUUGUUCCAGCGCCUCCUGCUCCCAAGGGAUGGGGGAAAAAUGGGAGGGGAAAAAG
Molecule: long non-coding RNA, 853 nt
Organism: Chiroxiphia lanceolata (lance-tailed manakin)
Lineage: Eukaryota; Metazoa; Chordata; Aves; Passeriformes; Pipridae
Exons: 3
Source: RefSeq, a predicted model, not a curated record